Long non-coding RNA from Sinocyclocheilus grahami, 263 nucleotides. RefSeq lists it as uncharacterized. The record is from RefSeq and is a predicted model, not a curated record. Lineage: Eukaryota; Metazoa; Chordata; Actinopteri; Cypriniformes; Cyprinidae. The transcript is spliced from 2 exons.
CAUGAGCUGGAGGAGUCUCAUGAGCGCGCUGACAUUGCCGAGUCCCAGGUCAACAAGCUGAGAGCCAAGAGCCGUGAAGCUGGGAAGACUAAAGAUGAAGAAUGAACACAAGAAGCUACACCUACAAGCAAGCAUAUGACUGACUUUUUCUGUGUCCAUUAAAUGGCAGAGUUUGACUUUGUUCUCCAUUAUUUUUUCCACUUUCAAACUUUAUCACAUACUCAAUCACUGUUUUAAAAGACAACUCAUGAGGCAUGAUGUGG